AACGAACGCUGGCGGCAAGCUUAACACAUGCAAGUCGAACGGACCGUAUACGCAGCUUGCUGCGUGUAUGGUUAGUGGCAGACGGGUGAGUAAUGCAUAGGAAUCUACCUAGUAGUAUGGGAUAGCCACUAGAAAUGGUGGGUAAUACUGUAUAAUCCCUGCGGGGGAAAGAUUUAUCGCUAUUAGAUGAGCCUAUGUCAGAUUAGCUAGUUGGUGGGGUAAUGGCCUACCAAGGCGGUGAUCUGUAGCUGGUCUGAGAGGAUGAUCAGCCACACUGGAACUGAGACACGGUCCAGACUCCUACGGGAGGCAGCAGUGGGGAAUAUUGGACAAUGGGCGCAAGCCUGAUCCAGCUAUGCCGCGUGAGUGAGGAAGGCCUUAGGGUUGUAAAACUCUUUCAGUAGGGAAGAUAAUGACGGUACCUAC
Molecule: ribosomal RNA, 426 nt
Filed under: Anaplasma marginale
Lineage: Bacteria; Pseudomonadati; Pseudomonadota; Alphaproteobacteria; Rickettsiales; Anaplasmataceae
Description: bacterial SSU rRNA
Rfam family: Bacterial small subunit ribosomal RNA
Source: RNAcentral